AAUGCUCAUGGUUCAUUGAAGGACAAGAAUCACUUGUAAGCCCUUUAAUGGGUGGGCUGCAGGAGAGAAACACUCGGAACAGCAGAAGUUGUCUCUGGAGAGCAAGACAUGUUGAAGAUCUUGGAAGUCUCAGAGCAUCUGGUCUUACCAGAAAGUAAAUGGAAGGUGGGCCACAGUGGACUGAAGCAAAGGAAAGUAUAAUCCUUGGAAUUGUCAUUGUGUCAUAGACAUUAUGGAUAAUCUUAUUUAAUGUUACUAUAAGGAAAUGGCUACAUUCUGUUUUUCCCCCAAAUCAUAAAUCACUCAAUAAUUUCAUUUGAACAGGUAGUUUGCCAGAUAGUGUUUUAUUGAAUCUAAGAAACCAUGUAUUUUAAAGUACGUCAUUAUUUUGUGUAUUGCUAGGAAAGAAAAGGCACUGCCAUUGAGGGAGAUAUUAAAUGUGAGAAAGUCUGGAAAUCGAUCAGAAAUGGUACAUCCUUCUGUCUGAUGAGCUCAUUUUAACAUCCUUUUUGUCUCCCCCUUCCCA
Molecule: long non-coding RNA, 526 nt
Filed under: Ursus maritimus (polar bear)
Lineage: Eukaryota; Metazoa; Chordata; Mammalia; Carnivora; Ursidae
Description: lncRNA (ENSUMAG00000013963.1)
Source: RNAcentral